This 1607-nucleotide long non-coding RNA is filed under the name Prunus dulcis (almond). Its description in RNAcentral is "sRNA ncRNA". The record is from RNAcentral. Lineage: Eukaryota; Viridiplantae; Streptophyta; Magnoliopsida; Rosales; Rosaceae.
GUACAAAAUAAUAUUUGUAUUAAUGAAAUUUAGGGUUACAAUCUCUGUAUUGAAUCCUCUGAUUUGAUCUCCAAAGUAUUUAAAGAAAAUUUGUGUUUGAUGCAAGGGUCGUAGAGACUUGAUCUUGAUCAAACGGGUAGCACGAAGCUUGUUUGGUGUUUGGGAUUUUUCUAUGGUGAAGGAACCAGCACGUAUUUAUUGUGCUUGGUGGCUCUUCCAAAGUAGGGUGAAGAAUGCAGAGAGUUUUCUGUUUCUUCUGAGUGCUAGGUUUUUUUCUGACCUUUUCUUUCGUCUUGAGGCCUCCUAUUUACAAGCUAUUGUAAGAUGCUUGACCUAAAUAACUUUCCCUAUUUAAAAUCCUGUCUUGCGGGAUUUUGAUUUGAUUUAAAUCAAUUCCCAUAAUCUGGUAAUUUAACCAUAUUAUCUUCAAUUGAUUGACCUGAUUAAUAUUUGAUUUAAAUCAAAGUCAAUUCACAGAAGAUUCUUUCCUUUAAUCUUGUCUUCGUCUUGAACCGCUUGAUGCACUCCGUCGGAUGUCGCCAUGUGUCAUUUUUUGACAACUAAUCCGAUUUUGAUGAGUCACAAGCCACAUGGACGAAUUACGGGGCCCACGAUUUAAUCCACCGAACCCUAAUUAUUUUCUUGUCCAAUGGAAUUUAUUGCACCAAAAUUUCUUUGUUUACACUCCUAUAUGCUGCCGACAAAGGUGGUGUCCCUUUUCUUCAUUGUUUUUGUUUGUUCUUGCUGUAUGCAACAACAUCAAGCUGCCCAAAAAAAAAAAAAAGCGUGGUUUUCUUCAACUUUUUUUUUUUUUUGUUUUUUUCCCCAGUUCAUCGCCUCUGUAUGCACCAGACCUUCUUCCAAAACAAAAUACAAACCUUAAACCUUUUUUGUUUUUGUUUUAAUCUGUCUCAAAGCAAACAAUUGAUUUUUUUUUUUUUUUUUUUUUUUUUUUUGUAUUUGUUUCAGAGCAGUCCAGAAACAGAAGAAAUUAGUGUCUUUGUUUUUUUUUUUUUGACAGAGAGGGAGAAAAUUGAUCAGAUUCUCCAAAGACAGAGAUAGAACCCACCCCAUGGUUUUGUUUGUGGGUUUUGUACCCAGAUUGGAUCCGUCAUCCAGAGAACUCAGUGAAUGAGCUUUAUGCCCAAAAUGGAUAUAUCACAUAUUUGAUUGAGGGUUACACACCCAUGAUGGAUUUUGUAUCCAAGAUUUUUUUUGGGGUUUAAAACCCAAAGCCUUGAUUUCGGGAUUGCAAAACCCAAUGCUUUGAUUUUGGGAUUUAUUACCCAAAGAUGGAUCGAAAAUCCGAGAAAUUUUGAUUCAAGGGUUGCCAGCCUACAUGGAUUGCCAUCCAUUUGAUUGAUUAAAGGGUUGCCACCCAACAUGGAGGACCUCAAGAGAGGAGCUUUGUUGUAGAUGCAUCUUUGAUUGCUUUCUGUCUUUUUUCCUCUCCAGCCUUUCGGCUCUUCUUCUUUGCCUUCGUGGCCUUGCAGGCUUUUAUUUUUCUUUGAAGCCUCCUCCCUCUUUUUCUUUUCUCUCUCCCUUUUUAUAGAGUCCUUAUAAGAGAGAUUUGAGAUGGAAGAAUUCCCAUUCAAAUUGGAUCCCUC